UUUGUUUUUCUGUUUCUU
Molecule: small RNA, 18 nt
Filed under: Arabidopsis thaliana (thale cress)
Lineage: Eukaryota; Viridiplantae; Streptophyta; Magnoliopsida; Brassicales; Brassicaceae
Description: ATSL059500
Source: RNAcentral